CAACAAGAACUUGUACAGAAGUGCUUUACCAGCCAAGUAACCCAUAAACUAGCUGUCAAAACUAUCAAAACAGCUUGAAUGCUUGAGAAGGCCUUUGAAAUUCUCUAUGAAGUUAGAAGGUAUGAAAAAUUACUAUAUGCAAGGCAAGAGUACAUGUUUAAAGUUCAUUAUUUAAAAGAGAACAUUUGAAGAGAAGAUCAGUGGAGAAGCUUUGCUUUGUAUGGGGGCUACAAGUAGAACCGUGAGCCACAGAGCCCACAAGGAAAGGUUGAUCGACAUUGUCAAAUGUUAUGUGAAAGUCAUGGAUUAACAUAUCACAGCAACAAAAUACAUGAUCUGGAGGUUGACAUUCUGGCCCAGAAAGUCCUGAAACACAGCUGAACAGCUGUCUGACUCAGCCGCUAGCGUCAAUCAGAACCAGCGAUGUCCUCUGGAAACACCUAACAAUGACCAGGCCCCACGAUGUUCUUGGAUGGCUGAAAAGUUCUCCUCAAAACACUUAUUAAAUAAUUUGAAAAUACUAAAGCAAACACAAAUAAGUAUUUAAAAUGUAACUAAUCUGACAUACACUUUGUGGCCACUUUAUUAGGUACAUUUGUACACGUGCUCAUUAAUGAAAAUAUCUAAUCAGCCAGACAUGUGGGAACAAUCAGCGCAUAAAAGCAUGCAGACGUAGUCAAAACAAUCAGUUCUUGUUCAGAGCAAACAUCAGAAUGCGGAAGAAAUGUGAUCUAAGUUACUUUUACCUUGUUGGUGCAAUCACACACAGCAUAGUACAUUUUAAAUUGUCCCAUGCAGCCCUAAAGAUUUAAUCACUGUGGAGGGUUUAGUACACUUGUGGGAUAACGUCUUUCCUGACCAGGAGGUCAGUGCUUUGCAGGUGAGACUUGUGGCUGUGAAACAAUUUCAGGUUCUGGUGCCUCCCUGUGGUAGUUGUAGGAAUUGACUCUGGGACUGUAAGAAGUUGUUCUGAAACCUCUUGAAUUCCUUUCUUCUGGACGCGAUGGCAACCUGAACAGUGCAAGGCAAGCUGUUCAAUCAGAACGGCUACCAGACUAAGCUUCAAGCCAAUGCUUUUAUUCUGACUAUGCUUAGGUGACUGGCAGGUACUGUAGCUCCUACAACAUGUGUGUACCUCCUCCAACAUGUCAGCUCUCAGUUCUGAUGGCACUGCAACUCUCAGUCCCCACAUAAGGCAACCUCCGUCAAGGGCAAGUUCAUCUAGUGCUGCUAAAAAGGAGUAAACUGGAGCUUCUGCUGCACAUUCCAGCCAUUUGGGUAGCCACGUAGGCCUGAGAAAGUGUCGGUCUUUCUAGUUUCCCUUUAGAAAUCUCUGUCAUAACAGGGAGACUAUUGAUUUGUGUUGAGAGAAUACGUCAAGAGGAGAGUCCCCUUUGGUAAAUUUUUCAAGUAUUACCUUUUCCAAGGGUAAACGGGACAAUCAAUCAGCAUUUCCAUGAUUAGUCAUCCUCUUGAAUUCAAUCUUAUAAUUGUGUCCUCCAAGAAACAGGUCCCAUCUCUCAAUUCAUGCUGCUGUUGUUAGUGAACCAUGCUUCUGUGGUUUGAAAAUGGACACUAGUGGCUGAUGAGGGUAAUGAAGGUAAACUCUCUCCCAUCAAAGUACUGAUUGAAACAUUUAACACCCCAAACCAGACUCAAACAGACUGUCAAUCUGUGAGCAAUUUUUCUUUGCAGCAAUAAGGGAAUGUGGCGCAAAGGCUCUGGGACGUUCACUUCCCUCACUAUUAACAUGAGACAUGACGGCACCUGUACAAUAGGUGAGGCACCACAGGCAAGCUUCACUGGACAACGUGGAUCAGAAUGUGCGAGUACAGUGUCCGAUUUCACCAUUUCCUUUACCCGUGUGAAAGCCACCUCACAUUGCUUUGUCCAGUCCUGUUCCUUCCCAAUCUUUAGUAAUGAUUAGCCAGGUUUCCCAGGAACCUGUUGUAGUAAUUGACAAAUCCUAAAAAGGACCCCAAUUGUGACAUGUCCUUUGGCCUUGGGACAAAAGGCCUUUACCAUUGCUUGAAUUUUUACUGCACACUUGUGUAAUCUUUGAAUGUCAAUGGUAUGACCACUGUAAGUAAGGCUUGGUUUAAAGAAUUCACUUGAUGCCUUGUGCUCUGAGCCCAUAUUCUACUGAUCUUAUCAACUCUGCCGUUCAUUCUUUGGGGCACUUCUCUGUUUUAUAUGAUGUUUGCAAAGAAAAAAGCAUUUCAGGAUGUAUAUUGUAUACAUUUCUCUGACAUUAGAUUUGACCUUUGAACUGUCUUGAGAUUUUGUAGAUGUUCUUCCUCAUCCUUACCAGUAACGCUAUGCCAUCCACAUAACACUGAGUGCCUGUGGAGUUCAUAGCAGGUGCAGAUGCUGCUUCAAAAAUAAACCUAUUAUAGUGAUAAAUCCCUUUGUGAGACACACUUUGGACUCUUCUUCCAUCUCCAUCUGCAGGCAGGCCUCAGCUAGGUCCACUUUGCUGAAGAGUUUUCCUCCAGAAAGGUUUGCAAAGAUAUCCUCUAUCCUGGGCAGAGUGUGUUGAUCUACUUUCAGUACUGGAUUAAUGGUGGUGACCUUAAAAACACCACAGAUCCUGAUAGAUCCAUUCUUCUUGGUUACUGGGACAACUAGUGUCACUCAUUGAUUCUACUCCAUCUUGGAAAGAAUCCCUUCAGUCUCCAUGUGAUCUAGCUCACUGGCUACUUUAUUAUAGAUGGUAUAAGGACCCAGAUGGGCUUGGUAAAACUUGGAUGUGGUAUUUUCAUUUCACACUAUUUUGUCCUUGAUAUGUUUGAGGUUUCCAAUGCCAUCCAAGAACAUCAGGCAUCACCCAGUACCUUUCUUCAUUUGGUUUCAGUUGACUCUUUUGAGGGAAUGUGGCAUUAAGUAGUGUGUAGAUCUUCAAUCAAGUUGUUGUUAUCUCAGCCAAUCACAACUCACCAUGCUGUCCUUUCCAUUUUUACCACAUACAAGCCCAAUGUGGUGUGUUGGUUGUUGUAUUUCACUGUUACAAAUGUCAUUCCCACAGCAGUUAUCAUUUCUCCCGUAUAAGUUCUUAGUUAGGUAUCUGCAGGCUUUAGUUUCUUUGCAAUGCCAUUCAAACUGAUUUUGUGGAAUGAUUCAAACAGUUGAGCAAGUGUCCAUUUCCAUUUUAAUUAAUUUGCCAUUCACUCUGGUGUAAGCCAUAUUGCUUGUCUCCUGUUGGUCUCCAUAUUAUAAGUCUCAAGGCUACUCAGUCCUGUGUCAUUCUCGUCAUUAUCAGAUUUUCCAUCAACAGCAUGCAGAUUAGUGAUCCUUUUGAAAUGGUAACAUGGCUUUUUUAUUUUUUUCUCUUCUCUGUAUAGUCCAUUAGUUUUUGUCUGCCCGACAUGCUCUUUGUUGAAUUUUCUGCAAGUUUUGCUUUUAAACCUAUAUUUGCCUGGUGUAUGUGAUCCCCGGUCUCACUAGUUGUUUGACUAGGCCAGUUUCUGACUUUAGACAUUGCAAUUUCACUUUUAUUCCUGACUGCAACUCAAUCACACCUCUGUUUGCUGUUUCUAUCAAUACAGUGAUUUUAACCGCUUUUUUAAAAUGUGAGUUGUGCUUCAGUUAGGAGCCGUUUAUAAAUGCAAACACAAACUAAGCAAUCUCUCAGUGCAUCAUUAUGCUCACUACUGAACUGACAAGGCUCAGACAAUUUGUUCAAUUCGGCCAAGUACGUUGAAAUGGACUGCCCUUCCUUUGGAUUCCACUUAUUAUAACUAAAGCGUUCUGCAAUCAACAAUGGUUUUGGUUCUAGACAUUCCUGCAUUACUUUCACAAUAUCAGCAAAGUUAAUUCUGUAGAAAAUAGAGCAGAAAAACCGGCACUCACUUUUCAUUGGCUAUUUCAUUUGCUUCAAAAUACUGCCCAAUUCAUUCAUAAUACACCCCCAGUUACAUAUUAUGCAAUUUAAUGUGCCUAUCUUUCUGAUGUAGACAGCCAUUUGUGCUUUCUUUUUAUUUAUUAUUAUCAGCCAGUUCUCACUGUUCCUGAACUCAUGAAUUUUGUCUGCGAUUGUUUUUAACUUACCCAUCUUCGUCCCCUCUGAAGUUAAAAAAAAACACAUCUUUCUGCACUUACAACAGGCAGAGUUUUCUCAGAUUCAUUUAAAACUUCUUUGUUGCCUCUAUUGUGUCUUGUAACUUCAAAACAUAAAACUAAUGAAAAGAAAAACAUGGAGCUGGGAGAUAACUUGCGUACAUUUAGUUUCUCAUUAGUGAGGAAUUCAAAUAUGAUGUGGUGGUGUAAUGACAUGUCAUUCACAUACCUUUACAUCUAACCCUAAAAUAAUGUAAACAACAAAGAAAGCUUAAUGAAACAAUAUUACUGAAAGAUUAGGUAUACAACACAGAGAAUGGUGAAAAAAACCCCAAAGAGUGGCACUUCUGAGAGCAUAAACACCUUGUUAAUGAGCGAGGUCAGAGAAGAAUGGCCAGGCUGGUUCAAGCCGACAGUAAUCAACAGAAGCUCAAAUACAGGUUUCUGAAUGCACAACACAUUAAAACUUGAAGUGGAUGGUUUGCAGCAGCAGGUUCCACUCCUGUACCUAAUAAAGUGGCCACUGACUGCAUCUGUCUUGAGAUCCAUAAAUGAAUGGACUCAUCAGGUCUAAUUGGCUCAAAGUCCAAAUGCAUUUUUCCCAGAAUUAGUGCUAGGAAAUUCAGCAAGCUGCUGUUGUGCCAGUGGACAACUGUGCAGAAUCCAAUGGCAAAACACAAGCAGGAUCCAGUAAUGAAUAAUUCACUGUGUAUAUUUCCAAAGCAAUAUUUUAAAAAUGUAUAUAUUUUAUUUAUCUAUAGUAUAUUAAAUCUAGUUUGAUAAUUGAUCAAAAAAUGUUGGGUUAGUGAACCAUGGUGGUUAUAUUUGAAAUAACUAAGAAACAUGUAGAUAUAGCAGGCGUUCUGAACUUUUUUUAAAAUAAUGUCAAAAUGAAGAUUACAGGGUUUAAUGGGAAGUUUGGCUUUUUAAAAUGAAUGAAAGCAAGUUACAACACACAAGCAAGAACACUUCAUUGUUAAAAACAACUGAUUUUUGAGACAUUUUAAAACUGCAUUUAUGCAUAUCUUGUUCCAAUUUAAUGCUUUCAAAUAUACAAUUACAAUAAGACAACGUGGGCCAAUUUUCAUCCCACUACUGCCUCAGGUAAACUUACAAACACAGUAAUGAAGGGAUGUAAUCAGCAGCAAACUUCUAUACUGGUUUAUGCCUCCUUUCCAAGCAAUUACUACAACAUUUUUAUCCCGGGCCAAAUGCUAUUAGAAUGACAGAGCCUGAGUUAGAGGGAAAGGUUGACCAGGCUGGGUCUUUAAUGCUUGGAAUAUAGAAGAAUGAAGGGAGACUUCAUAGGUAUGUUUAAAGUUAUGAGAGCCCUAGCUAAGGUAGAUAGUAACUGUCUUUUCCGCUGGGUAGCAGAGUCCAAAACUUUGAGUAUUGAUGUAUGGUGAAAGGGGAAGUUUUAUAAGGCACUUGUUUGGACUCUGGUCUAUUCCAGGGUUGGCUAGUAGGGGCACACGUUUUUCAGAACUGAUUGGACUCUCACAUCAUUGGCUGCACAUGCUCCCAAUUAAUACCUGUGUAUUUAAACUCUGCUUCCUGGCUCUUACUUUGCUCAGUCUUAAAGUAUGAUCUUGUAAGUAGCAAGAGCCUUGGUUUGUGUUUUUUUUUAAAUGUCUGCUUGCUGCCUACAUUUCUGGAACUUAUUUGCUCACUAAGAUCUUAGAUUACUCUACUGCAAUUGCACAUUAACCUCUUGCUUUUUUAAUAAAUUCUUUAUACUUCUGGAAA
This is a long non-coding RNA of Hypanus sabinus (Atlantic stingray), 5802 nucleotides long. RefSeq lists it as uncharacterized. The record is from RefSeq and is a predicted model, not a curated record. The transcript has 3 exons. Lineage: Eukaryota; Metazoa; Chordata; Chondrichthyes; Myliobatiformes; Dasyatidae.